This 150-nucleotide unclassified non-coding RNA is filed under the name Megachile rotundata (alfalfa leafcutting bee). RNAcentral's name for it is "uncharacterized LOC105663295, transcript variant X1". The record is from RNAcentral. Lineage: Eukaryota; Metazoa; Arthropoda; Insecta; Hymenoptera; Megachilidae.
GCCUUUCACUGCUCCUAGACGCGCCACUCCUGCUUCAUUCUAAUUUAUGUGCCAAAGUUCUGCCCCUUUUUACGACGCGGAAUAUAAAUCGCCAACAAUUUUCCUAAGUUACAUAUGGAUCUUCAGAAAUUCGCAGUUGCCUUCGAGGAA